GCCAGCAGCCAUAUCACCCUGCAACUCACAACUGACAACCCACUGUAGCUAAGCAGAUGUGAGCCUGGUCAGUACCUGGAAGGGAGACCUCCUGGGAAAGGUUGCUGCUGGAA
RNAcentral lists this ribosomal RNA (113 nucleotides) under Lepisosteus oculatus (spotted gar). The record is from RNAcentral. Lineage: Eukaryota; Metazoa; Chordata; Actinopteri; Semionotiformes; Lepisosteidae.